AACGAACGCUGGCGGCAGGCUUAACACAUGCAAGUCGAACGCCCCGCAAGGGGAGUGGCAGACGGGUGAGUAACGCGUGGGAAUCUACCGUGCCCUACGGAACAACAGUUGGAAACGACUGCUAAUACCGUAUACGCCCUGCGGGGGAAAGAUUUAUCGGGGUAUGAUGAGCCCGCGUUGGAUUAGCUAGUUGGUGGGGUAAAGGCCUACCAAGGCGACGAUCCAUAGCUGGUCUGAGAGGAUGAUCAGCCAAAUUGGGACUGAGACACGGCCCAAACUCGUACGGGGGUCCGCAGGGGGGAAUAUUAGACAAUGGGCGCAAGGCUGAUCCAGCGAUGCGGGGUGAGUGAUGAGGGACUUAGGAUUGUAAAGCACUAUCCCCGACGAAAAUAGUGACGGUAGUCGGAGAAGAAACCACGGCUAACUUCGUGCCAGCAGCCGCCGUAA
This 447-nucleotide ribosomal RNA is filed under the name uncultured bacterium. RNAcentral describes it as "partial 16S ribosomal RNA". It matches the Rfam family "Bacterial small subunit ribosomal RNA", at positions 29 to 523 of the family's 1533-position model. The record is from RNAcentral.